This 822-nucleotide ribosomal RNA is filed under the name Leptospora rubella. RNAcentral describes it as "eukaryotic LSU rRNA". It matches the Rfam family "Eukaryotic large subunit ribosomal RNA", at positions 81 to 922 of the family's 3401-position model. The record is from RNAcentral. Lineage: Eukaryota; Fungi; Ascomycota; Dothideomycetes.
UAGUAACGGCGAGUGAAGCGGCAACAGCUCAAAUUUGAAAUCUGGCUCUUUCAGGGUCCGAGUUGUAAUUUGCAGAGGGCGCUUUGGCAUUGGCAGCGGUCCAAGUUCUUUGGAACAGGACGUCACAGAGGGUGAGAAUCCCGUACGUGGUCGCUAGCCUUUGCCGUGUAAAGCCCCUUCGACGAGUCGAGUUGUUUGGGAAUGCAGCUCUAAAUGGGAGGUAAAUUUCUUCUAAAGCUAAAUACUGGCCAGAGACCGAUAGCGCACAAGUAGAGUGAUCGAAAGAUGAAAAGCACUUUGGAAAGAGAGUCAAAUAGCACGUGAAAUUGUUGAAAGGGAAGCGCUUGCAGCCAGACUUGCCUGUAGUUGCUUAUCUGGACUUUUGUCCGGUGCACUCUUCUGCGGGCAGGCCAGCAUCAGUUUGGGCGGUUGGAUAAAGGUCUCUGUCAUGUACCUCUCUUCGGGGAGGCCUUAUAGGGGAGACGACAUGCAACCAGCCUGGACUGAGGUCCGCGCAUUUGCUAGGAUGCUGGCGUAAUGGCUGUAAGCGGCCCGUCUUGAAACACGGACCAAGGAGUCUAACAUCUAUGCGAGUGUUUGGGUGUCAAGCCCAGACGCGUAAUGAAAGUGAACGGAGGUGGGAACCCUUUGGGUGCACCAUCGACCGAUCCUGAUGUCUUCGGAUGGAUUUGAGUAAGAGCAUGGCUGUUGGGACCCGAAAGAUGGUGAACUAUGCUUGAAUAGGGUGAAGCCAGAGGAAACUCUGGUGGAGGCUCGCAGCGGUUCUGACGUGCAAAUCGAUCGUCAAAUUUGGGCAUAGGG